GGUGACUCAGCGGUAGAGUGCUUGCCUGGCAUGCAUGAGGCCCUGAGUUUGAUUCCUCAGUACCA
RNAcentral lists this transfer RNA (65 nucleotides) under Dipodomys ordii (Ord's kangaroo rat). It matches the Rfam family "tRNA". Rfam says of the family: Transfer RNA (tRNA) molecules are approximately 80 nucleotides in length. Lineage: Eukaryota; Metazoa; Chordata; Mammalia; Rodentia; Heteromyidae. The record is from Rfam by way of RNAcentral.